GGGCACCACACCGAGUGAAAAUAAGAAAAUAGAGGCAUCCCUUCUGACUUACCCCUGGGGGUAGGACAAGGAACAAGUGUGACUCUGCCAUCAAUAAGUGCUACCAUUAAUCAUAAUACCAAGGAAUGACACAUGGUGGAGAAGCUGAGAUGGAAAUGGAAGAGUACAGCCAGAAGCAGAGAACUAGGAGAAAAGGACGCUGGUGAAGGUUGUGCCUGGGGCAUACAUGGACCUGAGAAAGUCCUAAUUGCUGAGGACAGGCAGGUGGACUGCAGGUGCACAGUGGGGGCAAGUAAUUCUUCAAGGCAGGGGAUCCACAGGGUUGAACAGCUUCGCACCAGCAAUUAUGACAGAAAUAACCCCAAGGCAGGACCACAGCUGAUUCAUCGCUGACUGUAUCUGAUUGUUAUUGCUGACCCACUCUUAAGACAAAGUAAGUUUAUACGAGGCACACAGUGAAC
This is a long non-coding RNA of Cygnus atratus (black swan), 461 nucleotides long. RefSeq lists it as uncharacterized. The record is from RefSeq and is a predicted model, not a curated record. NCBI's taxonomy places the organism in Eukaryota, Metazoa, Chordata, Aves, Anseriformes, Anatidae. The transcript has 4 exons.